RNAcentral lists this small RNA (850 nucleotides) under Histoplasma capsulatum var. duboisii H88. RNAcentral's name for it is "Histoplasma capsulatum H88 hypothetical RNA". The record is from RNAcentral. Lineage: Eukaryota; Fungi; Ascomycota; Eurotiomycetes; Onygenales; Ajellomycetaceae.
CAUGUAUAGUCUUUAACAGCCCCGGUGGCCGAAUGGGUAAUGCGGCCACCUGGUAGCGCCUUGGCGUGGGGACCCAAGGCGCGUGGGUUCGAAACCCGCAGGGGACAACAUUACAUCCAGAGCCAACUUCUCAGCUCCUAAAAUAAUGGGAUGUGAACCUGCCAAGUAGGUACCUUCGGGCGGACCUACUACUUGAUUUAGCUGAUUUUUCCUGGGCUGGGAACCUGUAUCACAUGUACCAAAUCCUGUCUUUCAUUAAUUUUUCUAUGUUCCUGUUAUAUUCUUGGCAUUGUUCAACACUAGCAUUCCUCCUGUAUAACCAACUCUUGCCUGUAUUUAACAUCACACAAGGACUCGUCAUAAGCACUGCUUGCAUACGAGUAUAAUGGAAGAAUAAUAAUAAUAAUAAUAUAGUCUCUAACAAUUCCUUCAUAUAAUCUCUGACAUUCUUCUGCUUCACUCAUUGCUCUAUAAGAACUCUUCAUACAAUCUUUUCUUUCAAUCUUCUUUCUCUUUCUUUUCUUAAUCAAUUCAUAAACUGUAUUAGAAUAGUGCUUAAGCUGUUAAUCAGUAGUACACCUGUUACACUUUCUCAUGUGCUCAUAUACAUCUAUAAAACAUCUCUUUUCUUAUGACUCUGCUCUGUGCUUAUAUAGUCUCUAAUAAUUUCUUUGUGUAAUCUCUAACAUCUUUCUGCUUUAUACUCUGCUGCAGUGUGAUCUUUGAUAUUCUUCUAUUCUGAUUUAUCUUUCUAUAAGAACUCUCUCUGUACAAUCUUUUCUUCUGGUCUCUUUUCUCUCUCUUUCCUUAAUCAAUUUGUAAACUGUAUUAGAAUAGUACUAAGUCCGUU